RNAcentral lists this ribosomal RNA (253 nucleotides) under uncultured bacterium. RNAcentral describes it as "partial 16S ribosomal RNA". It matches the Rfam family "Bacterial small subunit ribosomal RNA", at positions 524 to 776 of the family's 1533-position model. The record is from RNAcentral.
UACGUAUGGAGCAAGCGUUAUCCGGAUUUACUGGGCGUAAAGGGAGCGUAGGCGGCCUGCCAAGUCUGAUGUGAAAUACCGGGGCACAACCCCGGGGCUGCAUUGGAAACUGGCAGGCUGGAGUGCCGGAGAGGCAGGCGGAAUUCCUAGUGUAGCGGUGAAAUGCGUAGAUAUUAGGAGGAACACCAGUGGCGAAGGCGGCCUGCUGGACGGUGACUGACGCUGAGGCUCGAAAGCGUGGGGAGCAAACAGG